Molecule: ribosomal RNA, 119 nt
Filed under: Vibrio cholerae
Lineage: Bacteria; Pseudomonadati; Pseudomonadota; Gammaproteobacteria; Vibrionales; Vibrionaceae
Also listed under: 1 other name
Description: partial 16S ribosomal RNA
Rfam family: Bacterial small subunit ribosomal RNA
Source: RNAcentral
UAAUUGAAGAGUUUGAUCAUGGCUCAGAUUGAACGCUGGCGGCAGGCCUAACACAUGCAAGUCGAGCGGCAGCACAGAGGAACUUGUUCCUUGGGUGGCGAGCGGCGGACGGGUGAGUA